UGCAGUCUCCGAGAUGAAAACAAAAGUGAGAAACAAAUACAUCAGAUGAUGCUAUGCAGCUCUGAAGGAAGAACAUGUAUUGCCAGGACUCCAACAUUUGUGCUGUGUUUGCUGUACAAGGAGGAAAAGUGGGAAGAAAGCAUGGCAUAAAAAGGGGGAGGAGACCCAGCAUAAGAAGCCCAGUUCAGCAGGCCAGAGGACCCUGGAUCCAUGAGAGUAAGCAUCUGGCCUUCGCAAAGUAACAGAUAAACUUGGAGAUGCCCAACUCCAGAGCGACAACAGAGUGAGCCUGGGUCUGCAGGUCCCUGACUCUUUCCACUGCUCCACUGAGCCCCCCACCAUCCUUGGUGCACUGUGAAGAUUGUUCUUGCCUGCCUGGCUGCCAUUCGGGUGACCUCUACAAUCUGGCCCCAGCAGAAAGAACUUGCUAGCAGCAUAUCAAUAGCAGAGAUGGAAGUCUGGUCAUAUGGUGCCCACAUCUAUCGAAGUAAACAUGCUGAUACCAGAUAUCCCUGGCUCUCUGUCUUCAAGGCACAUGGUAGAACUAUACUUCCUAGGUUUCUGUGUGGCUGGGUGG
This 577-nucleotide small RNA is filed under the name Pan troglodytes (chimpanzee). RNAcentral's name for it is "processed transcript". Lineage: Eukaryota; Metazoa; Chordata; Mammalia; Primates; Hominidae. The record is from RNAcentral.